GACAGAACGAGCAAGCGUUAUUUUUCACAACUGGGUGUAAGAUGUGUGUAGGCACUAACUAACGUUUUUUAAGAAAUCUUUGUUCAAUAUAAAACGAGAAAUUAAGUUCUUUUAGUAUAGUUUUGUUAAGAUUUUUACAAUUCCUUAUAUAAAGAUAAAAUUUGCUCUUAAGAUAGGGAGGAAUGCCAAUUGUGCAGACGAAUUUUUAGAUAAAACUGAAGCUGAGACACGAAAACAUGGGUAGCAAAAAGG
RNAcentral lists this ribosomal RNA (252 nucleotides) under uncultured bacterium. RNAcentral's name for it is "partial 16S ribosomal RNA". It matches the Rfam family "Bacterial small subunit ribosomal RNA", at positions 524 to 776 of the family's 1533-position model. The record is from RNAcentral.